AACUAAUUCUAGCUCAAAAUUAUAUUCAUAAAAAUAUCCUAAUUAAAAAAAAACAAAACAUUUAUAGUAAUUAAAGUAUAGGCGAUAGAAAUUACACCAGACGCUAUAGAAAUAGUACCGCAAGGGAAAGAAUGAAAGAAAAAUUAUAAGUAAAAAAUAGCAAAGAUUAACUCUUGUACCUUUUGCAUAAUGAUUCAACUAGAAGAUUUUUAGCAAAAAGAAUUACAGUUAAAUAACCCGAAACCAGACGAGCUACCUAUUAACAGUUUUAAGGGACAAACUUAUUUAUGUGGCAAAAUAAUAAGAUGAUUAGUAGGUAGUGGCGACAAACCUAUCGAGCCUGGUGAUAGCUGGUUAUCCAGAAUAGAAUUUUAGUUCUAACUUAAAUUUACCAAAAAAAUAUGUAAAUUUAAAUGUAUGUUUAAGUAAUAGUCUAAGAGGGUACAGCCUCUUAGACAAGGGACACAACCCUAGUUAGAGAGUAAAAAAGUGCAAUCUAUAAUAGUUGGCCUAAGAGCAGCCACCAAACAAGAUAGCGUUCAAGCUCAAUAGUAUAUCAAACUAAUUCCAACUCUAUUAAUUUAUACUCCUAAUACCAAAAACUGGAUUAUCCUACUUAUGAGUAGGGGCGAUUAUGUUGAUAUGAGUAACAAGAAUUAUUUCUCCUAGCACAUGUGUAUAUCAGAACGAAUCAGUCACUGAUAGUUACCAAAAUAAAUAUAAAUGCUUCAUGAAUUUUCACCUCAAAUUGUUAGUCCAACACAGGAGUGCAACUAAGGAAAGAUUUAAAAAAGUAAAAGGAACUUGGCAAACACAAACCCCGCCUGUUUACCAAAAACAUCACCUCUAGCAUAAAAAGUAUUAGAGGCACCGCCUGCCCAGUGACUUUAGUUCAACGGCCGCGGUAUUCUGACCGUGCAAAGGUAGCAUAAUCACUUGUUCUUUAAAUAAGGACUUGUAUGAACGGCUUAACGAGGGUUUUACUGUCUCUUACUUUUGAUCAGUGAAAUUGACCUUCUCGUGAAGAGGCGAGAAUUAACUAAUAAGACGAGAAGACCCUAUGGAGCUUCAAUUAACUAGCCUAAUGAUAAUAAUAUGCUUCCAAGGAUAUAAACACCCACUUAACUAGGCUAAUAAUUUAGGUUGGGGUGACCUCGGAGUAAAAACUAACCUCCGAAAGAUCUUUUAAGACUAAUAAGUCAAAAUUAUACUACUAUACACUGAUCCGUCACAGACGAUCAACGGAACAAGUUACCCUAGGGAUAACAGCGCAAUCCUAUUUAAGAGUUCAUAUCGACAAUUAAGGGUUUACGACCUCGAUGUUGGAUCAGGACACCCUAAUGGUGCAGCAGCUAUUAACGCGUUCGUUUGUUCAACGAUUAAAGUCCUACGUGAUCUGAGUUCAGACCGGAGCAAUCCAGGUCGGUUUCUAUCUAUUCUAAAGUCUCUCCCAGUACGAAAGGAUAAGGGAGGCAAGGCCUACUUAAAUUAAGCGCCUUAAUAACAAAGAAUGAAAUAAUCUCAAUCUAAUUGUACUUAAAACUGCCCUAGACAAGGGCCCAA
RNAcentral lists this ribosomal RNA (1563 nucleotides) under Idionycteris phyllotis (Allen's big-eared bat). RNAcentral's name for it is "16S ribosomal RNA". It matches the Rfam family "Bacterial large subunit ribosomal RNA". Lineage: Eukaryota; Metazoa; Chordata; Mammalia; Chiroptera; Vespertilionidae. The record is from RNAcentral.